Molecule: long non-coding RNA, 7880 nt
Filed under: Marmota monax (woodchuck)
Lineage: Eukaryota; Metazoa; Chordata; Mammalia; Rodentia; Sciuridae
Rfam family: tRNA (bases 6393-6461)
Source: RNAcentral
UCCGCCGCCCGAGCUUCUGAACGCCUCAGGAGGCUUCGGGUUGCCUGAGCCUGUGGGGAAGGGAAAUAAAGCCCGGCCGAGGCAGGAGGCGGCGAAGGGCCCCGCGCGCCCCACAGCCCAGACAAAGCUGCGUCAAGAGAGCGGCUUUUUUUUUAUCCAGUCGGGUCCACCGAGGAAACCAAGUCGGGCUCCGCCACACGUGCGGCAGCCCGGCGGGGGCCGGACACCGCCCCCACAACCACCGCCCCCACAACUGCCGACCCCGCAGUACCCACGAGCACAGCCCCCGAGCGCCUCAGGGCGGGGCAAGGGGCGCGAACGCCGGCCAGGGUCCCCGCCCGCAGCGGCCCCGACACGCUCGAGGCCCCCGCGGACUCCCGCCCCUCGCCGGCCGUUCCUUCGCCGGCCGGACCGUCGGGCCGCGAGAAACAAAGGAGCCGCCGCUGCUCCCACCCGCGCCCGCUUCACCGCGUACCCCUCCCCAGCGCGUCGGGCCAGGCUCGCCCUCACCCGUCCCUAGGUCCGCGCACCGGCUGCCUGCGGCCCUUAGACGGCAGGCCCGGCAGAGCCGGGGCCUCGGGUGCGCGGCCGGCCGGCUCGGGGCCGCACUCACCGCUGCAGCACCAGGACGACGGGGAGCCGUUGGGGAACUUGGCUGAGUCCGGAGCGAUGCAGACGCUGGAACUGAGGUGCGGGCACUCCAUGGCCACGAGGACCGUGGCAGGGAGGACAGAGGCUCCGGGGCCGAACGAGGCGGGGGCGGAGGGACUCUGGAGGCUCCGUCUGGGGUCGCUCCUCGCCGGGCGCUAGGCAGACAGCGGCUGCGUCCCGAGCCCUUGCGUCAAAGAAAGCAAGGGCUUCCGGGCGCCGGGUUUUCCCGCCCGCCCUCUCUCAGCACUCCGCUCCGAAGAACGUGGAAUUCCGGGAUCCGGGUUCUGCCGCCACCUCUAGACCCGAGGCUUCCGCCUUCCCGGUCAGGCCCCGCCCCCAAGGCCGGCUCCGCCCCUGUGCACUCCCGCGGGUGGGGUCUCCGCGCGCGCUACCCUCAUCUGAUAGCUCAGGUUCCUGCAGCGCUUGGAAGUGACUUUCCCAAUUCCGCUCCCCUGGGCGGCUGCGGCUUCCCUGACUCAGGGAAUGGGGCUACCGGGCCCCGGCAGACAAGUCCGGUCCGCUGCGUCUAUCGGGUCCGGCGAAGGAGACUGAUAUUGCUUGGCGUGUUGGUCUGACUACAACGCGGCUUAGUGGUAGAAAAAUCUGGCCAAGUAACAGAGGGACAGAAAGAAAAUACAAACCACUCGGGCAGACGGGCACCGUAACCCUCCCAUUUUACCAAGCAAGAAACAAGCCCGGGGAGAUUAAGCCUGGCCCCGUGUUUGCGCCAGUGGGCUGCUUGGGUCCCAGAGCAAUCUAAUUCUGUCCUUUGAGACAGGUGUGGUUCUGAGCCGGUUCUGAGUUCUGCGCACACGGCCGUAGCUGGAAGAUGAGUGGCUGAGCCCAUUGGGGCACCCACGAACCUGGAUUCAGACCUUGUCACCGUGAUUAACUUUCAGCGUUACCAGGAGCACGUCGUCCUGAACUUUACAAAUCUCUCUGCUGGAAAUUUAAGUGAAAUACAUGUAACCUGGUUUUCGAGGUCCCGCCAACAGGUGAUAAAAAGGGAAGGGAUCUAACAUUGUUGGACGCGCUGAACCGCUUCCCUGCCAGGCACUUUGCAAUACAAAAUACCUCAUUUAAGCUUCGCUAUACCCUACAACUGAUGUUACGUUUCUCUUUUUACCGCGGGGGACAUCGAGUCUAUUAAUUUGCUAAUCCGUGCCGAGAUUAGGUCCUCUGCUCUCUGGCCUAUUUUAGAAAAGAGUUUAUGGGAGGGCAAACCUCUAGGGGCUGCUUGGAUUCGCCUUACACCGGAGCCGGAGGAGCCUGCGACUUAACUAGGGACAGUCUUAAGGACACCAGGGCUGUUACAAAUAUUGCCUCAGAAGUUUGGGCUCCUUGAAAACCCGUGAAAGGAGCCACAAGGCCAGAAGGCAAGCAAGGGGAGGGGGAAGACUGAUGUAGCAAUUCAAUGGGCAGAGUGGGGGGGGGGGAAGGAAGGUCCGGAAAUUAUUAACUGGGCCGGGUAGUGGUUAGAGUGGGGCACCUCCCUGAAGUGCAAUCUUGGAGCAGCCCAAGGUCACUCCCUUGGUCACUUCUCACUACUCCCUCAACCCCAGCAGUCCUCUGCUAAUGGUGUCCACCUUCCUGCAGCAUCUUUGAGACCUUUCCCCCCCUUUGUUUCUUCAAAGUUCCUUUGCCCUUUUUCAAAUUAUAUUAUUGAAGUUAUUGCAGUGAGGAGUUGUGGAAAGUGCAUAGGAAGCCAGGUAAGCAAAUGUUCAAAUCUUAAUUCUGCCAUUAUUUGGUGGCUAACCUUAGCAAGUGUUUUUAGUCCUUACCCCUCCCCCAACUUUUUUCUUAAUCUGUAAAACUGGAAAAAUAAUACGUAUCUGAAAAAGAAAUUAAAUCACGAGAUUUACUACCAUGUAGUAGGUAUUAAAUAUAGUUUUGUUUAUAACAGCAGUUGUGGGAUGCUUCCCACAGGAUAAACAAUAAUAUCUAACCUUUGCUCAAGCUCUUCCAUCUAUCUCCUCCUACCAGCCUAUUUAUCUUUCAGGCUUGGCUCAACCAAUCUUCUGUUUCUCUCAGGACAUGUUCCCCAUUUGGUAUCUAUAGCCCCUCAUUUGGCCAUGGAACAGUCUGACUCAUGCUGUCUUAUACUGGUAUGUAAUGUUACUUUUUUCACCCUCUCAGAAACUGUUUCCUAAUCCCCUAAACCUCAGUUUAAACACCACUUCCUGCAGGGAGGCCUUUUCUGACCCUGCUCCACCCCCAGGGUACCUCCCAGGGUGUGAUGCCCUUGACUGCCCCCACACUGCCUUUAUAAAACAUUCUUCUGCAUGUAAUUAUUUGUUUAAUGUCUGUCUUCCCCUUGGAGGUCCGUAAGGGUAGCAAACAAGUCUGUCUGGUUUCCUGCUUUAUUUCUAACAUAGUAUGUAGAACAUGGAAGGUGUCCAAUAAAUAAAGGGUUCAAUGAAUGGAAGAGUGGGUGAGUGAUGCUUUAGCAAUAUUUAGGAAGAAAGGAGUUUAGGAAGUGCCUAUAUAUAUAUAUAUAUAUAUAUAUAUAUAUAUAUAUAUGUAUCAGGUAUUUUCCACCUUGAGAGUAAACUGUACAUUUCAAUUCUGAGUUUGUGAUUUUAAAAGGAUCAGACAUGUUAAAGCAUCUUGUAAGGUAUAAACUGCUAAAACAGAUAUAUUAGUAUUAUAUAUUAUAGUAUUAUUGUCAUCUCUCCAUAACCAGAAUAAAAAUUCCGUGGAACAGGGGCCCUAUUUUGGCCAUUCUUGAUUUUGGUCGUCCCCUAAAGGGUAGACUCAGGCAGUCCAAAGAAGUCCAAUGGAAUCAGAGACCAGUUUCCUGGGGCUUUUGGUAGCCUGCCCUAAAACAGAGAACUUUCCUGUGUCUUUGAAAGUUUUCACAGUAAGAAAAAUUUGAAGGGGGGGGAACCCCUCAGUGAGUAAAUGUGUCAAACGGGGGAAGGCCAUGGGGCACCCUGGGAAAUCUGCCUUUUCAUCCAUGGAUUCUGCAGCUGCAUUUAAUACAACCUUCGCUUUUUUGUUCUUGGCUGGCAUGCCUUUGGCUCCCAAGAGCUCCGACUUACAUACCAGCAUGCCCAGAUAGUGAGGAGGGAGCUUCCAGCUCCAUUGCUUUGCACCACCGUUUCCACCACCCCAUACCCUACCCAGCCCCCUGGAUAUCUGCUGGGGCUACCAGCCCAAACACCUGCCAGAAGCAGUGGGCCUAUUUUAAAAGUGUGCAUUUUUUGCACAGGGGAGGAAUGCGCAAUUCCAACAGUACUAUCAAAUGAUUCUCGUAUAAAGAAUGUGUAUAUACAUUGGAGUGGGAAGAAGUGAAAGAAGGGGAUGUUCCCAGAUGCAUAAGAACUGUGAUCAGGAAAAAGCUCAAGGUUGCUGCAACCUGCCAAAAAUUUAGAUUUGUGACUUAUGGUAGAAUCUGUGGUCCUCAAGAAUUACAAAGCUGACCAGGCCCUGUGAAAAAGUAGCUCUGACUAUCCCCAUUCAGGUAAGACUGAUUAGAAACACCCAGAGAGCUGGCUUAAAUAUUUACUAUAGAGAUUUUUCUAAGAGCAAACCUCCUUGGAAAACCAAAGUUAGAUCAAGAGGAGGCUUCAAAGCAUUGAAAAGUGUUGGGGGUGGAGGAGCAUCAGCUCAAAAACUCUUCUAUCACCAGGUUUCAUUUUCCUAGCAGCACUGAUCUGAUAUUUUGUUGCUUGUUUACUUAUUUAUCUAUUAUCCAUAUCCUCAUGAGAUUGGAGACCUUGCCAGUCUUGUUCGAAGCCUGAUUGCCAACUCCUGGAAUACAGCUUGAUAUAUGCCAGGCCUCAGUAACUAUUUGUUAAAUGACUAAAUAAAAGGGGAACAGGGGAAACAGCUCAGAAUCCACAUCCUCAAGGCUCUGGGUUCAAUCCCCAGACAGCAAACCCACUCACCCAUCCCCCAAAAAAGGGGUGAUGAUGGGCAUGGGCUUCAGCAGAUGCACCCUCACUUUCUUACCCAAGAAUAUUGGUGGUGUCAUUCUUCUCACUUCUUUCCAUUCACCCCUUUCACAUUACCUCCCCUACAUAGUCACCUGUCACCUCCCUUUUGCUAAAGUUUUUGUGUGUUUUUAAAAAAAUUGUUCUAGCAGUACCUAAAAUCAUUCUCCUAUUAUACAUAAUGUUCUUCCUCACCACUCUGUGCCCUUCUCAUCUGGUACCCUUCUACCUGGCCACCUCCUUCUCCUCCUUCAUUAAACACAGUGCCUUCUCAGGGCAAUCCUCCAUCACUCACACAAGCUGACUUCAAAGUCUUCCCUCACUACCACCCCCACCACCCCCAUCUUCUGUCCCUGCAGUUUGUCACAGAGUGCUGUUAUUUUCUGGUCACAUUUUGGUCUCACUUGAGAGGUGUUUUUAUUUUCAUCCAUGUUCUUGGUAUUGAGUAAGCAACAGCAGAUAUUAAAACCAAUUAUAUUUGUUGAUAGAGGUUUUCGUUUCUUCUUUAAUCCCUGGACGAUAAAUAAUACCACCUUCAUUUUACUAAAAUGGAGAGAACUAAAGCUUAAAGAGGGUUAAAUAAUUACAUACAUUUGUAUAACUAGUAAUUGUUCAUUUAUCAGAGAAGGCAAAGUUUUUAUCCUUUCUGUACAUGGUCAUCUAAAUGAUUUUGCAGUAUUAUAUGAAGUUACUGAUGAGAGGGAGUCUUAGAAACCACAGGACACAGAAGAGCCUUCUGAGUAAAUAAUCAUUAUGUUUACUACCACUGUAAUAAUUAUAUCAACAUCUUAAUUUGUAUUGCCUUUGCUUUCGUCUUUAUCUCUGAGAGCCUCUUUUGUGAAGAUGAGGUUUUCCUGUUUAAAGACCUCUUUGCAGAUAAAAUACUGAUGGAUUAAGCACCACAGAAUGGCUCUAGCACCAAACAACCCCCAACAGGGAAGGAGUCACUGCUUUCCCUGGCCCUAGUCUUUCCAUUUGCAAAAUCUGAGGUUUGAACUUAAUAAUCACUCUUACAUGAUUGAGCACCCACAAUCUGUGAUAGCUCAUGGCCACCUAGUGACACUAACAGAAGGAAGACCAUCUCUCUGUGCUACGGCAGUGAUCACUAACUAUUCAUCCCAAAUCUUUUUCUUUUCCUUUUGGGUUCACAAAUAGUACUUUCUCAGCUUCUCUUGCAGUGAGGUGUUCCUGUCAAUGGAAUCUAAAGAAAUCACAAGGUUCAGCCUUGAAUAGCACUGUGAAGAGCCACCCAUGACUCAUAUAUUUCAAUGUCCAGUUUGGUUUAUCAGCACAUAGAGGAAAAUAUUAGGCUAGGCCCAGAAGGAAAUAUGGGUCUGCUAAGCUUCACUUAUGCCCUUUCUGUGUUGCCUCUUCAAUUCUUCGUUUAUUUAAUCAGCAGGUCUGCCUGCACUCUUAUCAUUUGCUAGUCACUGGUAAAUGCUUAGAGCUAUGUGGAGUCCUCCUCUACAGACAUUCCUCUGCCACUAUCAAGAGGAAGACCACUGUGGUUUUACUCAUUUUCUCUUGAUUGCUAAUUGCCUGAUUGGUAUAUCCACACCUCUGAGUUUCCAAAUGUUGUCUAGAUUUGGGCCUUAAGCCUUUCAAUGGUGUAAAUGACAUCCCAUGUAAAGGGCCUGCUUGGUGCUUGGCAUACAAUAGACCUUCAAUAAACAUCUGUUUCCUUGAAACCUUAGCAGGUAGGAGAAUUGAUGUGGGAGGUCAGGGAUGAUGGCCUAAUACCACUGGUUCUAGUAUAGCUGGCACAGAAAGUUAGAUUUUUGUCCUUUUAAAGGGAUCUGGAGGGCUGGGGUUGUGGCUCAGUGGUAUAGCACUCGUUUAGCAUGCGUGAGGCACUGGGUUCAAUCCCCAGCACCACAUAAAAACUAAAUAAACAAAAUAAAGCUAUUGUAGCCAUCUCAAACUAAAAAAAAUAAAAAUUAAAAAUUAAAUAAAAAAUAAAAAAAUAAAGGGAUCCGGACCAGGUCAUUUGUUCAACUGAUAUCACUGAUAUGCUAAGCUUUGUGAUAUAAAAAUGAGCAACACACAGCCUUAUCCUCAAAGGGAUGAAGAAAAAGGUACAAGACAGACACCAGCAAACAGGCAAUUGCAACAGUGUGAUAAGUGCUAGGAGGGGAAGUACAGGAUGUUUCUUAGCCACAAACAAGGGACAGAAAACUAACCCAGGCUGGUGAGUGGGUGUUGAGGUGGAGGAAGUGUCAAAUAAGACUUCCUGGAGGAAGUGGCAUAUAGCUUGGGACCUGCUUGAUACCCAGGUAAAGAGUGUGAAAUCAGGGUAGAGAAGGGAGCAUAGUAUCUCAGGCAGAGGGAACAAUUGCAAAGGCUCAGAGAAGAUCUGAGACUGCUGAUCCAGCUGGAGAGUUGGGUACAAGGGGACAGAAGGCUAAGAGAUGAGGCUGGCAAAUAGGCAGAAAAGACAGGAUUUAUAACAAAGAACUGCCAACACAGAGAAAUUUGGGUCUUCAGGACACUGGCAUCUCAGGGUUACACUUUGCCAAGUCCUAGGAGAAGGGAUGAAGGGGCAAAGAUACAGGAAGAAGAAAGGAACUAAUAAUUAUUAAGCAUCUGUAAGGCAUUCAGCUGCAUUAGUCAUCUGGGAAAUGCAAAUUAAAACCACAGAACAAACCUAGCCAGAAACAAACAAGCAGGGGUGAGAAUGAAGAUAUGAAUCCCCCCAACACACGCACACACACCCCAUCUUGACCAGAUCUCAGAACUGUUCUUGAGGAACUUACAGUCCACUGAGAGGAAGAGGCAAACAAUUUUUGGGGGGGCGGGGGGUGGUGCUGGGGAUUAAACCCAGAAGGCAAGCACUCUACCAACUGAGCUACAUCCCCAGCCUCCAAACACAUUUUAAGAUAUAGAAUUGUGAUGGAGAAAGGAAUGCUAGGCAUAGAGACCCCCAACUCUGCUGCCUCCUGUUCUUUCUUAACCUUCAUGUGACAAUUUAGCUAUCCAGAAUAUUUAGUUAUCCAGAAAACAAAUUUCACAAACAUCUAGAACAUACAUUUUCAUAGUCUGAACUCUUCAGACAUGUACUUUAUGAACUGAAAAGAAGCAGGGCUUUGGGGCCAAGCAGGCUAUGGUCCCAUCUCUACCACUGAUCUGCUGUGUGACAUUAGGCCAGCAUCCUGGCCUCUCCUGAACAUCUAUGAAACUGGAAUAAUAAGAACUGCUUCCAAAACAGUGACAUUCUUGCUCUGUUUCCUUUACUCAAAUAUUUAUUUUUGGAAAGAGAGAAUGGGAAUUCAUGUGUUCUGACCAGAACAAUUUUCU